RNAcentral lists this long non-coding RNA (211 nucleotides) under Trifolium pratense (red clover). RNAcentral's name for it is "long non-coding RNA (TPRA_LNC000145)". Lineage: Eukaryota; Viridiplantae; Streptophyta; Magnoliopsida; Fabales; Fabaceae. The record is from RNAcentral.
UGGAAGAAGAAAUCAUUUUGUACAUCUUCCAUCCUUUGCCAAAAUCAUCAUCUUAAGUAGAUUUGUCCAAAACUAUUUUUUUUUUAAGAUCUAGAACUAUUGAAAUAGAAACACAUAAAAAAGGGGAUUUUUGGCAGAGAAAUCGAAAGAGGAAUAGGAGAAUAUGCACAUCUUGCGGAGAGAGUGAGAGACGGCCGCCGGAGAGAGAUGG